RNAcentral lists this ribosomal RNA (101 nucleotides) under Sinocyclocheilus rhinocerous. Lineage: Eukaryota; Metazoa; Chordata; Actinopteri; Cypriniformes; Cyprinidae. The record is from RNAcentral.
CCCUGCAGCCCAAGACUGGUUGCCCACUGAAGCUAAGCACGGUUGCCCCUGGUCAGUACAUGGAUGGGAGAUCUCCUGGGAAAACUAGGUUGCUGCUGGAA